GCCAGAAUUACUUGCAGGAGUAACCUAGUGCCUAUAGCUAUGGCAGGUACCUGCAUCCUUGUUUUUGUUUAGUGGAUCCUCUAUCCUUCAGAGACUCUGGAACCCCUGUGCUCUUCUCCUCAUCUAGUGACCCUGAGGUGAUGGAGUUUUCAAGUCCUUCCAGAGAGGAAUGUCCCAAGCCUUCGGGUAGGGUGCCUUCAGCCGCUACAAGAGCAGAAGCAGUGGGCAUUGGAUGGAGCUGAGUACAGGACCAUACAGGCUAAUUGCACCGGCACAGAAUUUGCUACUUAAAUGGUACUUCUCUGAAGAAGAUGAGGAGGAAGGGGACAGGAUGACAUAGAGCCACUGACACUUUUCUUUGCCAAUUCUUUGGACCCUGACUUCUGCCCAUCCCUGACAUUUGGUUCCUGUCUUAAUGCCAGUGAAAUAAGAUUUCGCCGCCUAUCAUCUGCUAACUGCUACGGACUCAGGCUCAGAAAGGCCUGCGCUUCACCCAGGAAUCGGAUAUAACAUCAUCUGGGUACCCAUGGCCAGCUGUGACUUCUCCAUCCGCACCUACACCUAUGCAGACACCCCUGAUGAUUUCCAGUUGCACAACUUCAGCCUCCCAGAGGAAGAUACCAAGCUCAAGAUACCCCUGAUUCACCGAGCCCUGCAGUUGGCCCAGCGUCCCGUUUCACUCCUUGCCAGCCCCUGGACAUCACCCACUCGGCUCAAGACCAGGGGAGCGGGGAAUGGGAAGGGGCCACUCAAGGGACAGCCCAGAGACAUCUACCACCAGACCUGGGCCAGAUACAUUGUGAAGUUCCUGGAUGCCUAUGCUGAGCACAAGUUACAGUUCUGGGCAGUGACAGCUGAAAAUGAGCCUUCUGCUGGGCUGUUGAGUGGAUACCCCUUCCAGUGCCUGGGCUUCACCCCUGAACAUCAGCGAGACUUCAUUGCCCGUGACCUAGGUCCUACCCUUGCCAACGGUACUCACCACAAUGUCCGCCUACUCAUGCUGGAUGACCAACGCUUGCUGCUGCCCCACUGGGCAAAGGUGGUACUGACAGACCCAGAAGCAGCUAAAGGCCUGUGUGGGUUCCAAGUUCUGGGAGCAGAGUGUGCGGCUAGGCUCCUGGGAUCGAGGGAUGCAGUACAGCCACAGCAUCAUCACAAACCUCCUGUACCAUGUGGUCGGCUGGACCGACUGGAACCCAUCAUUGUAGACAUCACCAAGCACACGUUUUACAAACAGCCCAUGUUCUACCACCUUGGCCACUUCAGCAAGUUCAUUCCUGAGGGCUCCCAGAGAGUGGGGCUGGUUGCCAGUCAGAAGAACGACCCGGACGCAGUGGCACUGAUGCAUCCCGAUGGCUCUGCUGUUGUGGUCGUGCUAAACCGCUCCUCUAAGGAUGUGCCUCUUACCAUCAAGGAUCCUGCUGUGGGCUUCCUGGAGACAAUCUCACCUGGCUACUCCAUUCACACCUACCUGUGGCGUCGCCAGUGAUGGAGCAGAUACUCAAGGAGGCACUGGGCUCAGCCUGGGCAUUAAAGGGACAGAGUCAGCUCACACGCUGUCUGUGACUAAAGAGGGCACAGCAGGGCCAGUGUGAGCUUACAGCGACGUAAGCCCAGGGGCAAUGGUUUGGGUGACUCACUUUCCCCUCUAGGUGGUGCCAGGGGCUGGAGGCCCCUAGAAAAAGAUCAGUAAGCCCCAGUGUCCCCCCAGCCCCCAUGCUUAUGUGAACAUGCGCUGUGUGCUGCUUGCUUUGGAAACUGGGCCUGGGUCCAGGCCUAGGGUGAGCUCACUGUCCGUACAAACACAAGAUCAGGGCUGAGGGUAAGGAAAAGAAGAGACUAGGAAAGCUGGGCCCAAAACUGGAGACUGUUUGUCUUUCCUGGAGAUGCAGAACUGGGCCCGUGGAGCAGCAGUGUCAGCAUCAGGGCGGAAGCCUUAAAGCAGCAGCGGGUGUGCCCAGGCACCCAGAUGAUUCCUAUGGCACCAGCCAGGAAAAAUGGCAGCUCUUAAAGGAGAAAAUGUUUGAGCCCAGUCA
Molecule: long non-coding RNA, 2036 nt
Organism: Homo sapiens (human)
Lineage: Eukaryota; Metazoa; Chordata; Mammalia; Primates; Hominidae
Gene: GBA1LP
Product: glucosylceramidase beta 1 like, pseudogene
Source: Ensembl